This 774-nucleotide ribosomal RNA is filed under the name uncultured bacterium. Its description in RNAcentral is "bacterial SSU rRNA". It matches the Rfam family "Bacterial small subunit ribosomal RNA", at positions 72 to 848 of the family's 1533-position model. The record is from RNAcentral.
GCUUGCUUUUGAUGGGCGUCGACCGGCGCACGGGUGAGUAACGCGUAUCCAACCUGCCCACCACUUGGGGAUAACCUUGCGAAAGUAAGACUAAUACCCAAUGACGUCUCUAGAAGACAUCUGAAGGAGAUUAAAGAUUUAUCGGUGAUGGAUGGGGAUGCGUCUGAUUAGCUUGUUGGCGGGGUAACGGCCCACCAAGGCUACGAUCAGUAGGGGUUCUGAGAGGAAGGUCCCCCACAUUGGAACUGAGACACGGUCCAAACUCCUACGGGAGGCAGCAGUGAGGAAUAUUGGUCAAUGGACGAGAGUCUGAACCAGCCAAGUAGCGUGCAGGAUGACGGCCCUAUGGGUUGUAAACUGCUUUUAUAAGGGAAUAAAGUGAGUCUCGUGAGACUUUUUGCAUGUACCUUAUGAAUAAGGACCGGCUAAUUCCGUGCCAGCAGCCGCGGUAAUACGGAAGGUCCGGGCGUUAUCCGGAUUUAUUGGGUUUAAAGGGAGCGUAGGCCGGAGAUUAAGCGUGUUGUGAAAUGUAGAUGCUCAACAUCUGCACUGCAGCGCGAACUGGUUUCCUUGAGUACGCACAAAGUGGGCGGAAUUCGUGGUGUAGCGGUGAAAUGCUUAGAUAUCACGAAGAACUCCGAUUGCGAAGGCAGCUCACUGGAGCGCAACUGACGCUGAAGCUCGAAAGUGCGGGUAUCGAACAGGAUUAGAUACCCUGGUAGUCCGCACGGUAAACGAUGGAUGCCCGCUGUUGGUCUGAAUAGGUCAGCGGCC